Long non-coding RNA from Salarias fasciatus (jewelled blenny), 553 nucleotides. RefSeq lists it as uncharacterized. The transcript is spliced from 4 exons. Lineage: Eukaryota; Metazoa; Chordata; Actinopteri; Blenniiformes; Blenniidae. The record is from RefSeq and is a predicted model, not a curated record.
CCCGGAAUUGAAUACGGCUUUCCCUCCCUCUGAAGCGGAAAUGCCACGGCUGCUCGGCGCACAGCGACUUGCAACAGCGGAGAGAGGAGAGCCAGCAUGGAGUUUUCCUUGAGUUCACCAGAGUGGUAGGUAGAAACCUGAAAGAGGACUUCUUUGGUGAACUGGACCGUUCUUCUCCAUGCCUUAUGGACCUCUUCAGGAAGAAGAGAGGCCUUACUGGCCAGAUCUUGGCGGAGCUUUUGUGGAAGAUGAAGACCACUGAACCCACUGACUUGAGAUACCUGUGUAUUCGGGGGCUACCUGUCAUUUUGGGGGAUGAUCCUGCUGCAUUCUUCAGGUUUUGCAAUGAUGAAAGUGACAUGGACUCCUUCAGCCAAACAUCUGUGGGAAUCAUCUGUGUUGAUCACAAAGACUCUCAGCUCAACCCAUCCAGAGUUGGGAUUGUCCUGGAAGGGAGCAUGGUAAUGGAUAGGUUGGCCAACCUGCCUCAUGCUUUUUGCCUCCUUUUUGGACUCAUUUAUGCCCUUCACUUAGACUACCCAAAGUGCAUGAA